UCCAGACUCCUACGGGAGGCAGCAGUCGGGAAUAUUGCGCAAUGGAGGAAACUCUGACGCAGUGACGCCGCGUAUAGGAAGAAGGUUUUCGGAUUGUAAACUAUUGUCGUGAGGGAAGAAAUUGACAGUACCUCAGGAGGAAGCUCCGGCUAACUAUGUGCCAGCAGCCGCGGUAAUACAUAGGGAGCAAGCGUUAUCCGGAUUUAUUGGGUGUAAAGGGUGCGUAGACGGGAAAUUAAGUUAGUUGUGAAAUCCCUCGGCUUAACUGAGGAACUGCAACUAAAACUGAUUUUCUUGAGUACUGGAGAGGAAAGUGGAAUUCCUAGUGUAGCGGUGAAAUGCAUAGAUAUCACGCAGAACUCCGAUUGCGAAGGCAGCAUACCGGCGCGCAACUGACGCUCAUGCACGAAAGCGUGGGUAUCGAACAGGAUUAGAUACCCCGGUA
This 445-nucleotide ribosomal RNA is filed under the name uncultured bacterium. RNAcentral's name for it is "bacterial SSU rRNA". It matches the Rfam family "Bacterial small subunit ribosomal RNA", at positions 330 to 792 of the family's 1533-position model. The record is from RNAcentral.